Non-coding RNA from Ochotona curzoniae (black-lipped pika), 1106 nucleotides. Lineage: Eukaryota; Metazoa; Chordata; Mammalia; Lagomorpha; Ochotonidae. The record is from the annotation of a RefSeq genome assembly.
ACAGGUGCCUGUGUAGGCAGUUUCAGAAUCUUCUGUGCUCGGGAGGAAAGAAGCUAAGCCAUAAGAGACGUAGCUUGCCUGGGUGAUGGUUCAGGUUCUGAUGGAUAGGACCAUGGGGACACCUUCUGGACCUUUCUUCCUGUUCCUGUGGCUGCAGUUGCACUGUGUGAGUGGAGCAGAGCAGGUGGAGCAGAGCCCUGCUUUCCUGAGUGUCCGGGAGGGAGACGACUGUGUCAUCAACUGCACGUACACAGACAGUGUCACCACCUACUUCUAUUGGUAUAAGCAAGAACCCGGAGAAGGCCUCCAGUUGCUUAUAAACAUUCUCUCAAGUAUGGACAAGAAAGAAGACCAAAGGUUCACUGUGCUCAUGAAGAAGAAGGAGAAGCAGGUCUCCUUGCACAUCUCAGCUGCCCACGUUGCCGACUCAGCCACCUACUUCUGUGCAGCAAGUGCACAGUGCUCCCCCUGCACCUGCAGCCUGUACCCAAACCUGCACGAGGGCUGAAGACAUACUUAUUUCUGUCCUUUGAGUGAAGGAUUGACCUGUGUUUGACUUUUAUUUGUGUAGUUCAAAAAAUGCCCUUCUUGAAAGUCAGCUUCAAAGCCACCCAGUGAAUUUGAGAAUGUUUUUGGUGAGCCUCUGAGCACAGUUUCUGAUAUCUAGUUGAAGUCUAAGACUGUAGGAUUGACUUAGCGGUGAUAUUUCUACACCCUGAUGUCAAAGUCAGAGAAUUCUGUUCUUGGUGAAAGGAUUUAUAUCUUUUUUUAAAACAUAGGAUGCAUUGAUCAUGUCUGGUGAUAAAAUUAUUCAGUGUGGGGUGUGGGAAAUACAGUAAAUGGAAGGUGCACAAUUAGGUCGUCUUGGGUCUGGUGCAAUGGCUUGAUUGAAUAAUCAUUCCUCUUCUAGCGCAAGGAUCUUACAUGGGAACUGGUUUGUGUCCUGGCUGCUCUACUUCCCAUCCAGCUUGUUUUUUGUGGCCUGGGAAAGCAGUAAAGGAUGGCAGAAGGCCUUGGGAAUCAUGACCCAAAUGAAAUGUGUAAGAAGCUCCUCGUUCCUAAUUUCAUUUGCAUCAGCAUGGCCAUUGUGGCCACUUGUGGAGUGA